AGUAGAUUGCCUGAUUAAAGGGUUAUUUUGAUAGAAUAAAUUAAGUAUAAAAAUACAUUUACUA
Molecule: transfer RNA, 64 nt
Filed under: Anatkina vespertinula
Lineage: Eukaryota; Metazoa; Arthropoda; Insecta; Hemiptera; Cicadellidae
Description: tRNA-Ile
Source: RNAcentral